RNAcentral lists this ribosomal RNA (429 nucleotides) under bacterium. RNAcentral describes it as "partial 16S ribosomal RNA". It matches the Rfam family "Bacterial small subunit ribosomal RNA", at positions 355 to 776 of the family's 1533-position model. The record is from RNAcentral.
UAGGGAAUCUUCGGCAAUGGGGGCAACCCUGACCGAGCAACGCCGCGUGAGUGAAGAAGGUUUUCGGAUCGUAAAGCUCUGUUGUAAGAGAAGAACGUGUGUGAGAGUGGAAAGUUCACACAGUGACGUUAACUUACCAGAAAGGGACGCCUAACUCCUUGCCAGCAGCCGCGGUAAUACUUAGGUCCCGAGCGUUGUCCGGAUUUAUUGGGCGUAAAGCGAGCGCAGGCGGUUUAAUAUGUCUGAAGUUAAAGGCAGUGGCUUAACCAUUGUUCGCUUUGGAAACUGUUAAACUUGAGUGCAGAAGGGGAGAGUGGAAUUCCAUGUGUAGCGGUGAAAUGCGUAGAUAUAUGGAGGAACACCGGUGGCGAAAGCGGCUCUCUGGUCUGUAACUGACGCUGAGGCUCGAAAGCGUGGGGAGCAAACAGG